This 203-nucleotide unclassified non-coding RNA is filed under the name Hevea brasiliensis (rubber tree). Lineage: Eukaryota; Viridiplantae; Streptophyta; Magnoliopsida; Malpighiales; Euphorbiaceae. The record is from RNAcentral.
AGCUUCAUGAAAUUGACUUUGCAGAUUUGUCAAAUAAUUCAUUGGAUGUAUUUACCAUUUCAAAUGUAAAUAGUGGCUCAAAAUGGUUGUGGAUUCACUUCUCUGCUUCGUCACUAUUUUCGUAUGUUGUCUACUUUAUUAUGAAUAUAGAUAUAUAUCUUUGAAAAGGAUUGCUUAUUUUUAUUCAUCCAAACCUCAGCCAC